This 253-nucleotide ribosomal RNA is filed under the name uncultured bacterium. RNAcentral describes it as "partial 16S ribosomal RNA". It matches the Rfam family "Bacterial small subunit ribosomal RNA", at positions 524 to 776 of the family's 1533-position model. The record is from RNAcentral.
UACAGAGGUCUCAAGCGUUGUUCGGAUUCAUUGGGCGUAAAGCGUGUGUAGGCGGUCUGCUAAGUCGGGUGUGAAAGCCCUGGGCUCAACCCAGGAAGUGCACUCGAAACUGGCAGGCUAGAGUACUGGAGAGGUUGGUGGAAUUCUCGGUGUAGAGGUGAAAUUCGUAGAUAUCGAGAGGAACACCGGUGGCGAAGGCGGCCAACUGGACAGAUACUGACGCUGAGACACGAAAGCGUGGGGAGCAAACAGG